CACAGAACCAGAGCAAACAUAUCAUUCAUUGAUUGCUGGGCAAUUUGAGGCUAAUAUAAGAAAGGCUGGCUCUUUGGUUGAGGUGCCAUGUCUAUAAAGGUCACUAAACAAAAAUUCUAAGAAAUAAACAUUUCCAGAAGCCCUGAUAUCCUCAUGAACUCACCGAAGUUGGAAGUUCCUGAGUCACUGCCAUCUGCCUAGUGACUAUUUUUCUAAACUUCCAAGAAUGAAACAUCUUAGACACUUUUGCCUGCCAUAGACACAAAAGUCAUGGAUGACAUAACGAGAAGGAGUCCUCUUACCCACAGAGGGCUUUGGAAGCCCAGAUGAGAAGUUCUCAAACCUAUCUACAAAAGACUUUUCCAUCUGAGACAUGGAAGGGACACCAUUAACAGA
Molecule: long non-coding RNA, 396 nt
Filed under: Monodelphis domestica (gray short-tailed opossum)
Lineage: Eukaryota; Metazoa; Chordata; Mammalia; Didelphimorphia; Didelphidae
Description: lncRNA (ENSMODG00000034230.2)
Source: RNAcentral